RNAcentral lists this ribosomal RNA (460 nucleotides) under uncultured bacterium. Its description in RNAcentral is "partial 16S ribosomal RNA". It matches the Rfam family "Bacterial small subunit ribosomal RNA", at positions 338 to 795 of the family's 1533-position model. The record is from RNAcentral.
CCUACGGGAGGCUGCAGUGAGGAAUAUUGGUCAAUGGGCGCGAGCCUGAACCAGCCAAGUAGCGUGAAGGAUGACUGCCCUACGGGUGUUAAACUUCUUUUAUAAAGGAAUAAAGUGAGGCAUGUGUGCCGUUGUGUGUGUACUUUAUAAAUAAGGAUCGGCUAACUCCGUGCCCGCAGCCGCGGUAAUACGGAGGAUCCGAGCGUUAUCCGGAUUUAUGGGGUUUAAAGGGAGCGUAGAUGGGUUGUUAAGUCAGUUGUGAAAGUUUGCGGCUCAACCGUAAAAUUGCAAUUGAUACUGGCAGCCUUGAGUACAGUUGAGGUAGGCGGAAUUCGUGGUGUAGCGGUGAAAUGCUUAGAUAUCACGAAGAACUCCGAUUGCGAAGGCAGCUUACUAAACUGCCACUGACAUUGAUGCUCGAAAGUGUGGGUAUCAAACAGGAUUAGAUACCCUUGUAGUC